RNAcentral lists this ribosomal RNA (433 nucleotides) under uncultured bacterium. RNAcentral describes it as "partial 16S ribosomal RNA". It matches the Rfam family "Bacterial small subunit ribosomal RNA", at positions 29 to 507 of the family's 1533-position model. The record is from RNAcentral.
AACGAACGCUGGCGGCAGGCUUAACACAUGCAAGUCGAACGCACCUUUCGGGGUGAGUGGCAGACGGGUGAGUAACGCGUGGGAAUCUACCCUUCUCUACGGGAUAGCUCCGGGAAACUGGAAUUAAUACCGUAUACGUCCUGAGGGAGAAAGAUUUAUCGGGGAAGGAUGAGCCCGCGUUGGAUUAGCUAGUUGGUGGGGUAAAGGCCUACCAAGGCGACGAUCCAUAGCUGGUCUAAGAGGAUGAUCAGCCACAUUGGGACUGAGACACGGCCCAAACUCCUACGGGAGGCAGCAGUGGGGAAUAUUGGACAAUGGGCGCAAGCCUGAUCCAGCCAUGCCGCGUGAGUGAUGAAGGCCCUAGGGUUGUAAAGCUCUUUCAGGGGGGAUGAUAAUGACGGUACCCACAGAAGAAGCCCCGGCUAACUUCGUG